RNAcentral lists this ribosomal RNA (679 nucleotides) under Beijerinckia sp. ICBR-48. Its description in RNAcentral is "bacterial SSU rRNA". It matches the Rfam family "Bacterial small subunit ribosomal RNA", at positions 35 to 760 of the family's 1533-position model. Lineage: Bacteria; Pseudomonadati; Pseudomonadota; Alphaproteobacteria; Hyphomicrobiales; Beijerinckiaceae. RNAcentral also lists the same sequence under 1 other name. The record is from RNAcentral.
GCUGGCGGCAGGCCUAACACAUGCAAGUCGAACGCCGUAGCAAUACGGAGUGGCAGACGGGUGAGUAACACGUGGGAACAUACCCUUUGGUUCGGAAUAACUCAGGGAAACUUGGGCUAAUACCGGAUACGCCCUACGGGGGAAAGAUUUAUUGCCGAAGGAUUGGCCCGCGUCUGAUUAGCUAGUUGGUGAGGUAAUGGCUCACCAAGGCGACGAUCAGUAGCUGGUCUGAGAGGAUGAUCAGCCACAUUGGGACUGAGACACGGCCCAAACUCCUACGGGAGGCAGCAGUGGGGAAUAUUGGACAAUGGGCGCAAGCCUGAUCCAGCCAUGCCGCGUGAGUGAUGAAGGCCUUAGGGUUGUAAAGCUCUUUUACCUGGGAAGAUAAUGACGGUACCAGGAGAAUAAGCCCCGGCUAACUUCGUGCCAGCAGCCGCGGUAAUACGAAGGGGGCUAGCGUUGUUCGGAUUUACUGGGCGUAAAGCGCACGUAGGCGGAUCUUUAAGUCAGGGGUGAAAUCCCAAGGCUCAACCUUGGAACUGCCUUUGAUACUGGGGAUCUCGAGUCCGGGAGAGGUGAGUGGAACUGCGAGUGUAGAGGUGAAAUUCGUAGAUAUUCGCAAGAACACCAGUGGCGAAGGCGGCUCACUGGCCCGGUACUGACGCUGAGGUGCGAAAGC